This 507-nucleotide ribosomal RNA is filed under the name uncultured bacterium. RNAcentral describes it as "partial 16S ribosomal RNA". It matches the Rfam family "Bacterial small subunit ribosomal RNA", at positions 28 to 507 of the family's 1533-position model. The record is from RNAcentral.
GACGAACGCUGGCGGCGUGCCUAAUACAUGCAAGUCGAACGCAGCUUCUUUCAACGUAGCUUGCUACACCGAAAGAACGUGAGUGGCGAACGGGUGAGUAACACGUUCGUAACCUGCCCAUCAGCGGGGGAUAACACCUAGAAACAGGUGCUACUACCGCAUAAUUCCAUUUCCCGCAUGGUAGCUGGAUGAAAGGCGCUUUUGCGUCCCUGAUGUUUGGACCCGCGGUGCAUUAGCUCGCUGGUGGGGUAACGGCCUACCCAGGCUGCGAAGGAUAGGCGAACUGGCAGGGUGAACGGCCAGACUGGGACUGAGACACGGCCCAGACGGCUACGGGAGGCAGCAGUAGGGAAUGUUCGGCAAUGGACGCAAGUCGGGCCGAGCAGCGCCGGGUGAGUGGAGAAGGGGUUCGGAUUGUAAAACUCGGUUGUUAGAGAAGAACAAGGAUGAGAGUGGAAAGUUCAGCCCUUGACGGUAUCUAACCAGAAAGCCACGGCUAACUACGUG